This 150-nucleotide unclassified non-coding RNA is filed under the name uncultured Flavopunctelia. RNAcentral's name for it is "sequence contains ITS2". Lineage: Eukaryota; Fungi; Ascomycota; Lecanoromycetes; Lecanorales; Parmeliaceae. The record is from RNAcentral.
CACCCCUCAAGCGUAGCUUGGUAUUGGGUCCUCGCCCCUGCGGCGUACCCGAAAAUCAGUGGCGGUCCGGCGUGACUUUAAGCGUAGUAAAUUAUCUCCCGCUUUGAAAGUUCGCGGCGUGAUCGGCCAGAUAACCCCAAUUGCUUCAAU